This 24-nucleotide non-coding RNA is filed under the name Arabidopsis thaliana (thale cress). The record is from RNAcentral. Lineage: Eukaryota; Viridiplantae; Streptophyta; Magnoliopsida; Brassicales; Brassicaceae.
GGCUACUCAUCAAGUGCUUCAAGG